UACGAAGGGGGCUAGCGUUGUUCGGAAUUACUGGGCGUAAAGCGCGCGUAGGCGGAUUUGCCAGUCAGGGGUGAAAUGCCAGGGCUUAACCUUGGAACUGCCUUUGAUACUGCAAGUCUGGAGUACGGGAGAGGUGAGUGGAAUUCCGAGUGUAGAGGUGAAAUUCGUAGAUAUUCGGAGGAACACCAGAAGCGAAGGCGGCUCACUGGCCCGAUACUGACGCUGAGGCGCGAAAGCGUGGGGAGCAAAAGGG
RNAcentral lists this ribosomal RNA (253 nucleotides) under uncultured bacterium. RNAcentral describes it as "partial 16S ribosomal RNA". It matches the Rfam family "Bacterial small subunit ribosomal RNA", at positions 524 to 776 of the family's 1533-position model. The record is from RNAcentral.